GCCGCGGUAUGAGGGAGCGGGAGUCUUCCUUAGCUUCUCCGCCAUGGGUGUCGCUUCGUAGCCGGGCUGCUCCGGGAAAGGCCUCGUACAGCACGCAUUCACCAGAAUCCUGUCAGCUUUCCUCUUCUCAUCCAGAUGCCUGGCCAGGAUCCUCGAUAAGACCGUGACCCCCAACUUGGACACCCCAUAAGGAAAACUAGACAAUCCACCAGCCCAGGAGGGGACAAGCAGGAUUAAUCCUCCUCCUCGUCAUCUCUGGCUCCAGCCCCACCCUGGCCCUUGCUGGCAUUCUUCCUCUUCACGUGGCUGGGUUUGGCCACCCCAAUAGGGAAGCAGAGGGAGAAGUCGAUGUGCUUCUGGGAAUCCAGGCGGAUAGUGAAGAACAGGAUAUUUACCACCUGCUCACGGACACGGAUAUGACACUGUUGGAUCAGCACAUGAGCGUGGCAGAUGGACUUAGCCAAGCCAAGCUUGAAGACCUGGGUCUGUAGGCAUCUCUAAGAAAUCAUUGAUCUUCAGGCCCAGGACGUAAUCCAGCUUCAUCUUGCCCUCACCCAGCACCCCAGUGCGGACCAGCCACUGCAGCAGGGCAAUGCCUUCGAACAGACGCCAUGGGUCCUUCUCAUCAAGCGUCAGCAGCUCCUGGGCGGCCUUAUGGAUCUUGACCAGGGUAAAUUUGACCCUCCAGACCUCACAUUUGUUCUGGAGCCCAUACUCACCGAUCAGCUUUAGCUUUUGGUCGAGAUGAGGUUUCUCAAAGGGUCUCUGCGGGGUCACAUAAGUUUGGCGACAAACCCAGCUCUGGGCCGCUGGCAUGUUGGCUCCACUUGCCCGUCUAUGCCUAAGCACAGGCCCUGGUCACUGAGAAAGAGCUCAAAUUUUUUAUAUAUUUCAUCUAAGGUGUUGAUUCUAUUGAUACCCUUAUCCUUUUAACAUGCCCUUAUCCUUUUAAUGUUGGUAAUGAUGCUACCUGUCAUUUCUGAGACUGGUUUGUGUCUUUCGUGUUUUUUUCUGAUCUGUCUGGCUAGAGGUUUACCAAUUGAUUUGAUUUUCCUCAAACUUCUGGUUACAAUGAUUCUCUCUCUCUCUCUUUUCCUGAUUAUAUUAAUUUCUGUUCUGAUCUUUGUUUCCUUUCUUCUGCUUACUGGAUUUUAUUUGCUCUUUUUCUGGUUUCUUACUGUAAAGGCAGAAGUCAUUGAUUUGCAUUGAUUUGAGACUUCUUUUCUAAUGUAGGCAGUAAGCGGUGUAAAUUCCCUUUUAGUAUGACUUUAGUGGCAUCUCACAUUGAUAUGUUUUCAAUUUCAUUCAGUUUAUUUUUAUUUAUUUUUUUAAUUAUUUAUUUAUUUAUUUUGAGUUGUGUAGCCCUUUAUUAGCAACUAAAAUAGAAGGUAUCUGUUGUACAACAUGGGUAGUAAUUGACUAUAACUGGAGAUUUAUUAUAUUCUAAUACAGAUCAUUUAUAAAUGCAAUUUCUUUAUUAAAAAGCUUCCACCUU
Molecule: non-coding RNA, 1495 nt
Filed under: Pan troglodytes (chimpanzee)
Lineage: Eukaryota; Metazoa; Chordata; Mammalia; Primates; Hominidae
Source: RNAcentral